This 440-nucleotide ribosomal RNA is filed under the name uncultured bacterium. RNAcentral describes it as "partial 16S ribosomal RNA". It matches the Rfam family "Bacterial small subunit ribosomal RNA", at positions 377 to 795 of the family's 1533-position model. The record is from RNAcentral.
CCUCCUUUCUCCCUCCUUUUUUUCUCUUUCCCACUUUAUUUCCCUCUUAUUCAGCGACGCCGCGUGAGGGAAGAAGGUUUUCGGAUUGUAAACCUCUGUCUUCGGUGACGAAACGAGACGGUAGCCGAGGAGGAAGCCACGGCUAACUACGUGCCAGCAGCCGCGGUAAUACGUAGGUGGCAAGCGUUGUCCGGAAUUACUGGGUGUAAAGGGAGCGUAGGCGGGAAAGCAAGUUGAAUGUUUAAGGUACGGGCUCAACCUGUACAAGCGUUCAAAACUGUUUUUCUUGAGUGGAGUAGAGGUAAGCGGAAUUCCUAGUGUAGCGGUGAAAUGCGUAAAUAUUAGGAGGAACACCAGUGGCGAAGGCGGCUUACUGGGCUUUAACUGACGCUGAGGCUCGAAAGCGUGGGUAGCAAACAGGAUUAGAUACCCCAGUAGUC